Molecule: ribosomal RNA, 573 nt
Filed under: uncultured Helotiales
Lineage: Eukaryota; Fungi; Ascomycota; Leotiomycetes; Helotiales
Description: eukaryotic LSU rRNA
Rfam family: 5.8S ribosomal RNA (bases 220-373)
Source: RNAcentral
UUAGAGGAAGUAAAAGUCGUAACAAGGUUUCCGUAGGUGAACCUGCGGAAGGAUCAUUACAGAGUUCAUGCCCUCACGGGUAGAUCUCCCACCCUUGAAUAUUUUAUACCUUUGUUGCUUUGGCGGGCCGCUUCGGCUACCGGCUUUGGCUGGUGAGUGCCCGCCAGAGGACCCCAAAUUCUGAAUUAUAGUGUCGYCUGAGUACUAUAAAAUAGUUAAAACUUUCAACAACGGAUCUCUUGGUUCUGGCAUCGAUGAAGAACGCAGCGAAAUGCGAUAAGUAAUGUGAAUUGCAGAAUUCAGUGAAUCAUCGAAUCUUUGAACGCACAUUGCGCCCCUUGGUAUUCCGAGGGGCAUGCCUGUUCGAGCGUCAUUAUAACCCCUCAAGCUCAGCUUGGUGUUGGGGCCUGCCGCACGGGCAGCCCUUAAAAUCAGUGGCGGUGCCAUCUGGCUCUAAGCGUAGUAAUUCUUCUCGCUAUAGAGUCACGGUGGAUGCUUGCCAUUAACCCCCAAUUUUCAAUGGUUGACCUCGGAUCAGGUAGGGAUACCCGCUGAACUUAAGCAUAUCAAUAA